This 413-nucleotide ribosomal RNA is filed under the name uncultured microorganism. RNAcentral describes it as "bacterial SSU rRNA". It matches the Rfam family "Archaeal small subunit ribosomal RNA", at positions 330 to 745 of the family's 1478-position model. The record is from RNAcentral.
GCGCAGCAGUCGAGAAAACUUCACACUGUGCGAAAGCACGAUGAGGGAAUCCCAAGUGCUUGCACGUAAGUGUAAGCUGUUUCUCUGUUUAAAACGCAGAGAGAGUAAGGGCUGGGUAAGACGGGUGCCAGCCGCCGCGGUAAUACCUGCAGCUCAAGUGGUGACCGUUAUUAUUGGGCCUAAAACGUCCGUAGCCGGUUUAAUAAAUGCCUGGGUAAAUCGUGUAGCUUAACUAUACGAAUUCCGGGUAGACUGUUAAACUCGAGACCGGGAGAAGUUAGAGGUACUCCUGGGGUAGAGGUGAAAUUCUGUAAUCCUAGGGGACCACCAGUGGCGAAGGCGUCUAACUAGAACGGGUCUGACGGUGAGGGACGAAGCCCUGGGGCGCAAACGGGAUUAGAUACCCGUGUAGU